CUCGGCUCUCGCAUCGAUGAAGAACGUAGCGAAAUGCGAUACUUGGUGUGAAUUGCAGAAUCCCGCGAACCAUCGAGUCUUUGAACGCAAGUUGCGCCCCAAGCCUUCUGGCCGAGGGCACGUCUGCCUGGGUGUCACAAAUCGUCGUCCCCAUUCUUUGCGGA
RNAcentral lists this ribosomal RNA (164 nucleotides) under Draba verna. Its description in RNAcentral is "5.8S ribosomal RNA". The stretch from base 1 to 137 matches the Rfam family "5.8S ribosomal RNA", at positions 20 to 154 of the family's 154-position model. Rfam says of the family: 5.8S ribosomal RNA (5.8S rRNA) is a component of the large subunit of the eukaryotic ribosome. It is transcribed by RNA polymerase I as part of the 45S precursor that also contains 18S and 28S rRNA. Lineage: Eukaryota; Viridiplantae; Streptophyta; Magnoliopsida; Brassicales; Brassicaceae. The record is from RNAcentral.